UGAAAGACCCUCUUGUUCUGGGAGGCAGUCAGUCCGGAGGGAGCCUCCUCGGAAGGUGGCUGUACCUCUAUUCAGAAGGAGGCUGCCGGUACCUUAGUGCCCUCUGGAACGCUGAGCGGCUUGGCCCCGGAGGGGCUGGUUCCCAAAAGAGAGCAGGAGCUCUUUCUGCCAGACCAGCUGUACUUCAUUAAUGAGUCAAGCCAGAGGUCUAACCAAUCCGUUGCUACUGGGACUUUCGUUUUUCUCCCCUGGUUUAUUUUAUUGCUAUUCUGAGAGGUAAACAUACACAUACACCUCAACAACUCC
RNAcentral lists this long non-coding RNA (306 nucleotides) under Homo sapiens (human). Its description in RNAcentral is "HSALNT0181514". The record is from RNAcentral. Lineage: Eukaryota; Metazoa; Chordata; Mammalia; Primates; Hominidae.